Long non-coding RNA from Poecilia latipinna (sailfin molly), 531 nucleotides. RefSeq lists it as uncharacterized. NCBI's taxonomy places the organism in Eukaryota, Metazoa, Chordata, Actinopteri, Cyprinodontiformes, Poeciliidae. The transcript has 3 exons. The record is from RefSeq and is a predicted model, not a curated record.
AGAGCCGUCAACAUCCCCAAAGUGGUCUUUAAAUAGCUACAAGAGGCCAAUAUCAUUAGAUAAGCUUUAUUGCCUUUCCCAAGAGUAAUAUUAUCAAGCCGCACUAGUGAGACUAUAGUGCCAGUGUCCUGCGGUCAUUCCCAUCCGUGUUCUGAAUGCCAAGCCGAGAGCGUUGCCGCCGCCGCCGCAGACAAACCAUUAGUCUCAGCAACUCGCAGACAAUGUUGGGCCAGCGAGGUGGUGGAGGAGAGGCAGAGCAGACGAAAUGAGGACCCAAGAGUGACAUCGAACAGCCGAUGUGUUUGUUUUCCAUCGCAGAGAGGAAUCAUUGCAUAAAAGAGGGGAGGAACACCAACUCCAAAAUCCUACCCUGGCUCCCAAAGAUGUUCCUUCACUGGAAACCCACUAGAGAGAGAGAGUGGAGGAGAAAGGCAGACCAUGACCAAGUGAUAACCAAGAGAACCCGAUCACACACAACAACAACAACAGCCAGAGGAACAUGCAAUGUGAUGGAGCCAUACACUGAAAGGG